CUACAGGUAUUCCUCCCAGCCUGAUAACAGAUGAGGCGCAUAAGAACCCACCUAUGUUACCACUGCCCAACUAGUCAUUUAUUUUCCAAUCUCCCAUCAAAACUCUUGAAAAAAGAAGAAAAAAAAAAAACCACGAGCUGAAUAAUGCGUGUGGACUCCAGGCGAGAGACAGGCCGGGUUGGGGACUGAGUCGGAGGACACAAUUAUCUGUUCUUUGGGGACCCCGAGAUGUGAUAUGGGCUGCUUGUUCCCAGAGGUUAUCACCAUGACAAAUACUCUCAGGAGAGAUUCUGGCCAUAGCAGUGGCUGCUGGAAGUGUCUUCGGGGCCCUAUUGGAGACCAGAGGUGGGACGGGGACGGCGACAGGGCGAGUCGAGACCACCCACCCCCUCCCCAUUCGCCUGCACUGAAUCAUAUGCAAAGCACUUCAGAUGGUCCCGACGAGCCAUGGGUACGCAGGAGGGUCUGGAAAUAUUCCUAUUCGCGAUGAUUAACAGUCCAGCUGGAAACUUGUAAUUGCAGAAGCCGCCCUAAAUCGGUAACUUAUAACUUCUAUAUUAGGGCCCAUGUGACCUAAUAAAGAACAUCUUUAUCCGGG
Long non-coding RNA from Tachyglossus aculeatus (Australian echidna), 598 nucleotides. RefSeq lists it as uncharacterized. The transcript has 2 exons. NCBI's taxonomy places the organism in Eukaryota, Metazoa, Chordata, Mammalia, Monotremata, Tachyglossidae. The record is from RefSeq and is a predicted model, not a curated record.